GACGAACGUUGGCGGCGUGCUUAACACAUGCAAGUCGACUGGAAAGGCCCUACUUGUGUGGCGUUCGAGUGGGGGCACGGGUUAUAAAACGUUAGUGAAACGGCCUUUAGGUCUGGAUUAACUUCGGGAAACCGGGGCUAAUAUCGGUUGAUGCAUCCCGUCGGCAUCGCGGCGGUUGUAAUAGUUACGGUGAGGGAAGAGCACCCGGCGUCUGAGUAGGUUGUUGGCGUAAUGGCCUACCAAGACGUCGACGGUGAGUAGGCGUGAGAGGGUGGACGGCCACAUUGGGACGGAGAGACUGCCCAGACUCCUACUGGAGGGAGCAGUGGGGAAUAGUGCACAAUGGUCGCAAGCCUGAUGCAGCGACGCCGCGUGGGGGAUGACGGCCUUCGGGUUGUAAACUCCUUUCAGCCAUGACGAAGCCCUCGUGGUGACGGUAGUGGUAGAAGAAGCACCGGCUAACUACGUG
RNAcentral lists this ribosomal RNA (469 nucleotides) under uncultured bacterium. RNAcentral describes it as "partial 16S ribosomal RNA". It matches the Rfam family "Bacterial small subunit ribosomal RNA", at positions 28 to 507 of the family's 1533-position model. The record is from RNAcentral.